ACCUCAGUAACGGCGAGUGAAGCGGUAACAGCUCAAAUUUGAAAGCUCGCUCUUUGAGGGCGCGCGUUGUAAUUUGUAGAAGAUGCUUCGAGUGUGGCCCCGGUCUAAGUUCCCUUGGAACAGGACGUCAUAGAGGGUGAGAAUCCCGUAUGUGACUGGGCGCCUUCGCUCGUGUGAAGCUCUUUCGACGAGUCGAGUUGUUUGGGAAUGCAGCUCAAAAUGGGUGGUAUAUUUCAUCUAAAGCUAAAUAUUGGCCAGAGACCGAUAGCGCACAAGUAGAGUGAUCGAAAGAUGAAAAGCACUUUGGAAAGAGAGUUAAACAGUACGUGAAAUUGUUGAAAGGGAAGCGCUUGCAACCAGACUUGCGCGUAGGUGAUCAUCCGGGCUUCUGUCCGGUGCACUCGCCUGCGCUCAGGCCAGCAUCGGUUUCGGCGGUGGGAUAAAGGCCUUGGGAAUGUAGCUCCUUUCGGGGAGUGUUAUAGCCCUCGGUGCAAUGCCGCCUGCCGGGACCGAGGACCGCGCUUCGGCUAGGAUGCUGGCGUAAUGGUUGUAAGCGACCCGUCUUGAAACACGGACCAAGGAGUCUAACAUCUAUGCGAGUGUUUGGGUGUCAAACCCAUACGCGUAAUGAAAGUGAACGGAGGUGAGAACCCUUAAGGGCGCAUCAUCGACCGAUCCUGAUGUCUUCGGAUGGAUUUGAGUAAGAGCAUAGCUGUUGGGACCCGAAAGAUGGUGAACUAUGCGUGAAUAGGGUGAAGCCAGAGGAAACUCUGGUGGAGGCUCGCAGCGGUUCUGACGUGCAAAUCGAUCGUCAAAUUUGCGUAUAUGAGCGAAAGAC
This 838-nucleotide ribosomal RNA is filed under the name Thedgonia ligustrina. Its description in RNAcentral is "LSU rRNA". It matches the Rfam family "Eukaryotic large subunit ribosomal RNA", at positions 77 to 931 of the family's 3401-position model. Lineage: Eukaryota; Fungi; Ascomycota; Leotiomycetes; Helotiales. The record is from RNAcentral.